UGAAGGCUUGGGGUGAAGAAGAAGGGAUGCCGAAGGCUCGAAGUGGGGGUGACAUGCAUUUUGGCCCUCCAAACCCUGGCAUGCUCCAGGAGGAGAGUAAAGGCUCCCCUGCCAUGCCAGCAACCCCUCAAUACCGAGGACACCUGGGAAGGCUCCUGCUUGGAGAGGGGAAUGGAAACCUCCUUGGGAGAUGGACAGGACAGCACGGCAUGGCUUGGGGGCCAGGCACCAAAGAGGAAGAUGGAUGCGUGGGACAGAUACAAACUCCUGCCAGGAAUCUUGCCCUUGGCUCCUCGCCGACCUGGCCUGCCAGAGCCCCGGCAGCUGGCUGAUUCCCAAGGGGAAUAAUGAGCUUUGGUUUCCAUCUACCCCUCAGAGACAGUGGCAGAGAGGAGCAGAGCACACAAGCAGACAGCUCCAGCCACAAAGGUGAGGGGGAAUUAUCCUGUGAAAUGAUACAUGUGGGGGUAGCUUCUCUCACUGACUGCCUGCAGGGCUGUCCCCAGCAGCAACGGCCCCUGUUGGCUUAAUUCAGUCUCUACAGCCACUGGUGUCAAUAAAGAAGUUAAAAAAUAAGUUUUAAAAGGCCUG
Serinus canaria (Common canary) is the source of this 591-nucleotide long non-coding RNA. Ensembl lists it as uncharacterized. Lineage: Eukaryota; Metazoa; Chordata; Aves; Passeriformes; Fringillidae. The record is from Ensembl.